Molecule: unclassified non-coding RNA, 347 nt
Filed under: soil metagenome
Description: partial contains 5.8S ribosomal RNA, internal transcribed spacer 2, and large subunit ribosomal RNA
Rfam family: 5.8S ribosomal RNA (bases 1-120)
Source: RNAcentral
GAUGAAGGACGUAGUGAAAUGCGAUAAUUAAUGUGAAUUGCAGAAUUCAGUGAAUCAUCGAGUCUUUGAACGCACAUUGCGCCCCCUGGUAUUCCGGGGGGCAUGCCUGUCCGAGCGUCAUUGCUGCCCUCAAGCACGGCUUGUGUGUUGGGCUUCCGUCCCUGGCAACGGGGACGGGCCCAAAAGGCAGUGGCGGCACCAUGUCUGGUCCUCGAGCGUAUGGGGCUUUGUCACCCGCUCCCGUAGGUCCAGCUGGCAGCUAGCCUCGCAACCAAUCUUUUUAACCAGGUUGACCUCGGAUCAGGUAGGGAUACCCGCUGAACUUAAGCAUAUCAAUAAGCGGAGGA